CUUUGUUUAUGCAAAUUACACACCCUGUGUGCCUAGAAUCUGAUGUACAUAAAAAAUGUGGUCCAUGGUGCCUCGUGAUCAAGUAUUCAAUGUUGGUUCUCUUAUAUCCAAGCGCUGUUUAAGAGCUGGCAAUCAACUAUGGUCAAUUCUCAAGGUUUACAGCUACUGCUCAAUGAAUGAACAAGCAUUACAUUUCACCACUGCUGAUGUAUCUAAGUUCAAGUAGAUGCAGAUGACUCAUCAGGGACUAUAUAUAUAUACACUAUUUUUUGUGCUCAAGCAACACAAUUCAUUUACAUCCUCAAGCAUCUGAAUUCAAAUAUUUCUUUCUCAUACAAGCCUUUUGACAAUACUCAGAAUACUAUUUGUUUGUAGAGCAAAAAAUACAAUGGGUUUCCGCAUACCAGGUAUUAUUAGACAGCCAUCAUUUUCUGCUGUCAAAGCAAACAAGGGACUUGAAGUUCCAAAAGGCCAUCUUGCAGUGUAUGUUGGAGAUAAGAUGAGGCGGUUUGUGAUCUUUUCAAGAAUUGCUAAGUCGAGCAGAAGAAGAGUUUGGAUAUGAUCAUCCAGCUGGUGGUCUUACAAUUCCAUGCAAGGAGGAUGACUUUCUACAUCAUGCUAUAGUGGUGCUCGGAUAGAUUAGUUGAGAAAAAAAUUGUAGAG
This 663-nucleotide small RNA is filed under the name Vigna angularis var. angularis. Its description in RNAcentral is "Non-protein coding transcript". The record is from RNAcentral. Lineage: Eukaryota; Viridiplantae; Streptophyta; Magnoliopsida; Fabales; Fabaceae.